This 498-nucleotide ribosomal RNA is filed under the name uncultured bacterium. Its description in RNAcentral is "partial 16S ribosomal RNA". It matches the Rfam family "Bacterial small subunit ribosomal RNA", at positions 30 to 523 of the family's 1533-position model. The record is from RNAcentral.
AUUGAACGCUGGCGGCAUGCCUUACACAUGCAAGUCGAACGGUAACAGGUCUUCGGAUGCUGACGAGUGGCGCACGGGUGAGUAAUACAUCGGAACGUGCCUAGUAGUGGGGGAUAACUACUCGAAAGAGUGGCUAAUACCGCAUGAGAUCUACGGAUGAAAGCAGGGGAUCGCAAGACCUUGUGCUACUAGAGCGGCCGAUGGCAGAUUAGGUAGUUGGUGGGAUAAAAGCUUACCAAGCCGACGAUCUGUAGCUGGUCUGAGAGGACGAUCAGCCACACGGGGACUGAGACACGGCCCAGACUCCUACGGGAGGCAGCAGUGGGGAAUUUUGGACAAUGGGCGAAAGCCUGAUCCAGCAAUGCCGCGUGCAGGAUGACGGCCUUCGGGUUGUAAACUGCUUUUGUACGGAACGAAAAGCCCCGGGUUAAUACCCUGGGGUCAUGACGGUACCGUAAGAAUAAGCACCGGCUAACUACGUGCCAGCCGCCGCCGCCG